AAUGGAUGUGUAACUGAUGUGAUUCUGCAAUCUGUAUAUGGGUGAAAUAUGAUAUAUCAAGAACUAUGUAAUGUUUUGAAUAACCAACAAUAAAAAAUUAAAAAAAAAAAAACUGAACCCUUCUUCAACUCCUUCCCAUUCUCAAAGAGAGAUGGGAUUUGUCCUUCUAACCACUUUUCUGGGCCAUUUGUCCAUACCUGUCCAGCCCAGGACAGACUACACUGAUAGGGUCACACCUUUUCUGCAGUAGGUUGGAAGCAUCAAGUGACACUGCAGGCCCUCCUUGGAGCUGUGGUCACCAGAGGCCACCUGCUGGUUUUCUUCCUUCUGUAUAUUUGGGUGUGAGUGUCUGUCCACCUGAGUGUGUGACCAGCUCUUUGAGGCUUAGCAUAGCUAUUGUCACCCUGUAGUGAGCAGACACUCAGCACUUUCAUCAGGUAAAGAGACCUGAACAUUUGGACAAAUCCCAGCUACCAACGCUGGAAUAUUAAUGACAUGUCUGUCCAUAAGGGACCCCAAGAAGCAGAAGCGCUUCCUUAUCCUUCAAAUUCUCAGAGAAAGUUUUGCAUUGCCACUGGUAUGUGCCCCCUUCUAUUGAACAUGCCCUUUAGGAAUGGAAACAUGGAGAAGAGACAGUUUGAUUAAAUGAUAUUGAGGAUGGCAGCUUGUUCCUUCUUAUGGGGCUAAAUGGCUAAAUGUUUGUGCG
This 706-nucleotide long non-coding RNA is filed under the name Marmota monax (woodchuck). Lineage: Eukaryota; Metazoa; Chordata; Mammalia; Rodentia; Sciuridae. The record is from RNAcentral.